RNAcentral lists this ribosomal RNA (492 nucleotides) under uncultured bacterium. Its description in RNAcentral is "partial 16S ribosomal RNA". It matches the Rfam family "Bacterial small subunit ribosomal RNA", at positions 29 to 507 of the family's 1533-position model. The record is from RNAcentral.
AGUGAACGCUGGCGGUAGGCCUAACACAUGCAAGUCGAACGGCAGCACAGUAAGAGCUUGCUCUUACGGGUGGCGAGUGGCGGACGGGUGAGGAAUACAUCGGAAUCUACUUUUUCGUGGGGGAUAACGCAGGGAAACUUACGCUAAUACCGCAUACGACCUACGGGUGAAAGCAGGGGAUCUUCGGACCUUGCGCGAUUGAAUGAGCCGAUGUCGGAUUAGCUAGUUGGCGGGGUAAAGGCCCACCAAGGCGACGAUCCGUAGCUGGUCUGAGAGGAUGAUCAGCCACACUGGAACUGAGACACGGUCCAGACUCCUACGGGAGGCAGCAGUGGGGAAUAUUGGACAAUGGGCGCAAGCCUGAUCCAGCCAUACUGCGUGGGUGAAGAAGGCCUUCGGGUUGUAAAGCCCUUUUGUUGGGAAAGAAAAGCAGCAGGUUAAUACCCCGCUGUUCUGACGGUACCCAAAGAAUAAGCACCGGCUAACUUCGUG